UACGUAGGGUGCAAGCGUUAAUCGGAAUUACUGGGCGUAAAGCGUGCGCAGGCGGCUAUGCAAGACAGAUGUGAAAUCCCCGGGCUCAACCUGGGAACUGCAUUUGUGACUGCAUAGCUAGAGUACGGUAGAGGGGGAUGGAAUUCCGCGUGUAGCAGUGAAAUGCGUAGAUAUGCGGAGGAACACCGAUGGCGAAGGCAAUCCCCUGGACCUGUACUGAC
RNAcentral lists this ribosomal RNA (221 nucleotides) under uncultured bacterium. RNAcentral describes it as "partial 16S ribosomal RNA". It matches the Rfam family "Bacterial small subunit ribosomal RNA", at positions 524 to 744 of the family's 1533-position model. The record is from RNAcentral.